CUUCAAUAUAUUUUCACUCCACUUGUUUCCAAAUGCCGUCUCCUUUUUGACUAAUACCCUUCGUACAAUUUUCGGAGACCUUCAUAUAUGCAACACAAAGAACUUCAUUCUCUUUUCUUGUCCAAUUCACACCUUUUUGAGAAGGAGUGGACAUGUUUCAAACAAGUAGAAAUGAUAGAAGAGAAGGAAGAAAAUGUGAGAAAAUUUGAAGAUAAAAUGUAUGUAAAUAUAGAAGAGAGGGAGCCAAAAUAACAAGUAAAAAUGAUAGAAGAGAAGGAAGAAAGUGUGAGAAAAUUUGGAGUUAAAAUGUGUGUAUAUAUAGAAGAUUGAGAGACAAAUGACCGUUGCAAAUUUUUUCCUUUUUUUUUUUUUUUUAGGGUUUACAAAUGUUUCCGUUGGAAACAUAAAAAAAAAAAAUUUAAAUUUGACCGUUGGAUGUCAACGGUAAUUGAAUAGUGUGACUAUGGGAUUUUGUUUUUAAAAGGUGGGAAAGCCCACAAAUUCAAAUUGUGGCUGAUUUUUGUGGGCCCGAAAUAAGGGCUCUAGGGUCACCUUGAGGUCUAUAUUUGGUCCUCUCCACUCCCCUCUACCUCUCUACCCCUCUAGCCCUUUCUUAUUGGAGCCCAUUUUUUGAAAAUUAGGGCCCUAGAGCUCACUUAGCCCUCCUUAUUGGAGAUGGCCUUAGGUUUCAAAUUUGGCGCCUAUGAAUAUAUAACUGUCAAACUUAUUUAUUAACUCUUAAUGCAAACUCUCACUUACUAAAGGAAACUAAUACCUAUACCUUAGGUUAUUUCAAUGCAAUUGUACCUAUGAUGAGUCUCAAUAUGCCUAAAAUAUCGAUUAUGUUUAAUUACUCUCGAUCGUUUUUGGUUUUUCCAAGUACAGUGCAACAUCUUUUUGAAGUAUAAUUUCAAUUGUUAUUAAACUUGAGAAAUUUUAAAUACACACCCCUAAUAUCUUAAUACACACCCCUUACUUAAUACACUACCUAUCAAGUUUUUCAUUUCAAUAUUAUACUUAAUACACAUCUCAAACUGUCUAAAAUGCCCUUAAUUUAUGAAAUAUU
Molecule: long non-coding RNA, 1066 nt
Filed under: Fragaria vesca (wild strawberry)
Lineage: Eukaryota; Viridiplantae; Streptophyta; Magnoliopsida; Rosales; Rosaceae
Description: long non-coding RNA (FVES_LNC000753)
Source: RNAcentral